RNAcentral lists this transfer RNA (73 nucleotides) under Candidatus Tariuqbacter arcticus. RNAcentral describes it as "tRNA-Ala". It matches the Rfam family "tRNA". From Rfam's summary of the family: Transfer RNA (tRNA) molecules are approximately 80 nucleotides in length. Their secondary structure includes four short double-helical elements and three loops (D, anti-codon, and T loops). Further hydrogen bonds mediate the characteristic L-shaped molecular structure. tRNAs have two regions of fundamental functional importance: the anti-codon, which is responsible for specific mRNA codon recognition, and the 3' end, to which the tRNAs corresponding amino acid is attached (by aminoacyl-tRNA synthetases). tRNAs cope with the degeneracy of the genetic code in two manners: having more than one tRNA (with a specific anti-codon) for a particular amino acid; and 'wobble' base-pairing, i.e. permitting non-standard base-pairing at the 3rd anti-codon position. The record is from RNAcentral. Lineage: Bacteria; Pseudomonadati; Candidatus Electryoneota; Candidatus Tariuqbacteria; Candidatus Tariuqbacterales; Candidatus Tariuqbacteraceae.
GGGGAAUUAGCUCAGUUGGGAGAGCGCGGGCUUUGCAAGCCUGAGGCCACCGGUUCGAGUCCGGUAAUCUCCA